This 342-nucleotide long non-coding RNA is filed under the name Olea europaea (common olive). RNAcentral's name for it is "long non-coding RNA (OEUR_LNC002620)". The record is from RNAcentral. Lineage: Eukaryota; Viridiplantae; Streptophyta; Magnoliopsida; Lamiales; Oleaceae.
GCGAGGUUGCGGCCUAAAAGUUCUUCCAACAUCCGUUGGUCUGAACUGCCUUUCAAAAGGCGGUCCUCUAUAGAAUGAUGUACCUCGUCCUCUGCCAGGCUGAACGUUUGGGAAGAAAACAGGGCGACGAGGAUGCUGCCAUGUCUCCGGUUUCUCCGUAUUUCCAUUUACUUCCCUUUUACACCUUGCACACAGGACGUUUUCGUCCUUUUUUGGUUCUUUUCCUUUGAUACGUUCAAAGACACUGGGAUGUGGUUUAUGAUCUUCUUCUCCGUCAUCUAUGACUAACUUGAAUUUUGGUAACUUGUUCUUGAAUCCAGAUGUUACCAUGUUUACCCCAAG